UCGACGAAGCAAUUAAAAUGAAGUUUUCGGAUGGAUUUUUGAUUGACUGAGUGGCGGACGGGUGAGUAACGCGUGGAUAACCUGCCUCACACUGGGGGAUAACAGUUAGAAAUGACUGCUAAUACCGCAUAAGCGCACAGUACCGCAUGGUACGGUGUGAAAAACUCCGGUGGUGUGAGAUGGAUCCGCGUCUGAUUAGCCAGUUGGCGGGGUAACGGCCCACCAAAGCGACGAUCAGUAGCCGACCUGAGAGGGUGACCGGCCACAUUGGGACUGAGACACGGCCCAAACUCCUACGGGAGGCAGCAGUGGGGAAUAUUGCACAAUGGGCGUAAGCCUGAUGCAGCGACGCCGCGUGAGUGAAGAAGUAUUUCGGUAUGUAAAGCUCUAUCAGCAGGGAAGAAAAUGACGGUACCUGACUAAGAAGCCCCGGCUAACUACGUGCCAGCAGCCGCGGUAAUACGUAGGGGGCAAGCGUUAUCCGGAUUUACUGGGUGUAAAGGGAGCGUAGACGGCGAAGCAAGUCUGAAGUGAAAACCCAGGGCUCAACCCUGGGACUGCUUUGGAAACUGUUUUGCUAGAGUGUCGGAGAGGUAAGUGGAAUUCCUAGUGUAGCGGUGAAAUGCGUAGAUAUUAGGAGGAACACCAGUGGCGAAGGCGGCUUACUGGACGAUAACUGACGUUGAGGCUCGAAAGCGUGNGGAGCAAACAGGAUUAGAUACCCUGGUAGUCCACGNCGUAAACGAUGAAUGCUAGGUGU
Molecule: ribosomal RNA, 760 nt
Filed under: uncultured bacterium
Lineage: Bacteria
Description: bacterial SSU rRNA
Rfam family: Bacterial small subunit ribosomal RNA
Source: RNAcentral